RNAcentral lists this ribosomal RNA (697 nucleotides) under uncultured bacterium. RNAcentral's name for it is "bacterial SSU rRNA". It matches the Rfam family "Bacterial small subunit ribosomal RNA", at positions 61 to 761 of the family's 1533-position model. The record is from RNAcentral.
GUCGAACGAGAUUGCACCGACGGAACCUUCGGGGGAAGAUGGUGCAUGACAGUGGCGGAUGGGUGAGUAACGCGUAAGAAACCUGCCUUUCACACCGGGAUAGCAGCUGGAAACGGCUAUUAAUACCGGAUGAUACUUUUCUGACGCAUGUUAGGAAGGUCAAAGAAUUUCGGUGAAAGAUGGUCUUGCGUCUGAUUAGCUAGUUGGUGGGGUAACGGCCUACCAAGGCGACGAUCAGUAGCCGGCCUGAGAGGGUGUACGGCCACAUUGGGACUGAGACACGGCCCAAACUCCUACGGGAGGCAGCAGUGGGGAAUUUUGCACAAUGGAGGAAACUCUGAUGCAGCGACGCCGCGUGAACGAAGAAGGUUUUCGGAUCGUAAAGUUCUGUCCUGGGUGAAGAUAAUGACGGUAACUCAGGAGGAAGCCCCGGCUAACUACGUGCCAGCAGCCGCGGUAAUACGUAGGGGGCGAGCGUUGUUCGGAAUUAUUGGGCGUAAAGGGUACGUAGGCGGCUCGUUAAGUUUGGCGUUAAAUUCCGGGGCUCAACCCCGGCAAGCGUUGAAAACUGGCGAGCUUGAGUAGUAGAGGGGACAGUGGAAUUCCUAGUGUAGCGGUGAAAUGCGUAGAGAUUAGGAAGAAUACCGGUGGCGAAGGCGACUGUCUGGAUACAUACUGACGCUGAGGUACGAAAGCG